AGUCGAACGAUGAUCCCAGCUUGCUGGGGGAUUAGUGGCGAACGGGUGAGUAACACGUGAGUAACCUGCCCUUGACUCUGGGAUAAGCCUGGGAAACUGGGUCUAAUACCGGAUAUGACCGUCUGACGCAUGUCAGGUGGUGGAAAGCUUUUGUGGUUUUGGAUGGACUCGCGGCCUAUCAGCUUGUUGGUGGGGUAAUGGCCUACCAAGGCGACGACGGGUAGCCGGCCUGAGAGGGUGACCGGCCACACUGGGACUGAGACACGGCCCAGACUCCUACGGGAGGCAGCAGUGGGGAAUAUUGCACAAUGGGCGCAAGCCUGAUGCAGCGACGCCGCGUGAGGGAUGACGGCCUUCGGGUUGUAAACCUCUUUCAGUAGGGAAGAAGCGAAAGUGACGGUACCUGCAGAAGAAGCGCCGGCUAACUACGUGCCAGCAGCCGCGGUAAUACGUAGGGCGCAAGCGUUAUCCGGAAUUAUUGGGCGUAAAGAGCUCGUAGGCGGUUUGUCGCGUCUGCUGUGAAAGACCGGGGCUCAACUCCGGUUCUGCAGUGGGUACGGGCAGACUAGAGUGAUGUAGGGGAGACUGGAAUUCCUGGUGUAGCGGUGAAAUGCGCAGAUAUCAGGAGGAACACCGAUGGCGAAGGCAGGUCUCUGGGCAUUAACUGACGCUGAGGAGCGAAAGCAUGGGGAGCGAACAGGAUUAGAUACCCUGGUAGUCCAUGCCGUAAACGUUGGGCACUAGGUGUGGGGGACAUUCCACGUUUUCCGCGCCGUAGCUAACGCAUUAAGUGCCCCGCCUGGG
RNAcentral lists this ribosomal RNA (804 nucleotides) under Arthrobacter sp. 001xTSA06A_B01. Its description in RNAcentral is "bacterial SSU rRNA". It matches the Rfam family "Bacterial small subunit ribosomal RNA", at positions 60 to 877 of the family's 1533-position model. Lineage: Bacteria; Bacillati; Actinomycetota; Actinomycetes; Micrococcales; Micrococcaceae. The record is from RNAcentral.